GCGGGUGCGAGAUUGCUGAGUCCCCGUGGCUCACAGAUACUUCCAAAACCAGUUUGCAGGUGCCUAUGUUACCGAGCAGGUGACGCAACCAAGCUCAAGGAGGAGCUCGAUGAAGAUCUUGCCCUUUGUGUUGUUUCGUUCUAGUUGAUCAGUAGUGGAGCCCAGUUGGGGUCGAUCGGGGACCUUUGUCGCAUUUGGGGUUCUUCUUUUAUUUUGGUUCCGUAGUCGGACCUUGAUUGUAUCUGGAUGAUGUAAUGCUUUAUUCAUGUAAUUGUGUGAAGUGGCGAUUGUAAGCCAACUAUGUAUCUCUUUCCCUUAUGUAUUAUAUGGGUUGUGUGAAGAUUACCUCACUUGCGACAUUGCUUUCAAUGCGGUUAUGCCUCUAAGUCAUGCUUCGACACGUGGGAGAUAUAGCCGCAUCAAGGGCGUUACAAGUUGGUAUCAGAGCCUUCCCCGACCUUAGGAGCCCCACUGCUUGAUCGUUUUUAGCGGCCGAGUUGUGUCUAGAAAAAUAUUUUGAGUCAUUUAGGAUUAUAUAUAUCGGAGAGUUAGGAAUUCUUUUUACUCCCCAGUCUCUUCAUCGCUCUGGUAAGGCAUCCUGACGUAGAGUUUUGACUCUUCUCUUCUCAAAUUUCACUAAAAAAAAUUUAGGAUCACGCAGGUAUCUUGGAAUCGUUCCGAUGGUUUUAUGAUGAGAACAUUGUCUUGGUGCCUCCUGUCAGGUGUUUAGUGGAAGUGUCCCGGGGAGUUGAGCUCUAAGGUGUUGUCGUCAUAAUUUUAUCGUUGCAGUUCUGAAAUACCUGAGUUUAGUACGCCGACAUCGAAAAUCUCUUUUAUGCAGUUGUUGGUGAGAUAACCCCGAUAACCCAGUACUGAGGUGAGUACGGGAGUAUUGCCAUGACUUGUAUAACGGAUGCUUUUCGAAGGUUGAGGUAGACGAUUUCCGAAGGUUUCUUGGUUAUGUGUUGAAGGAUGGAUACAGCUGGAUGUAGGAUUUGUUAGUUUUGGGUGAGAUAUUAUGCUUCCCCUGUAUCCCCAACACCUGAUUGCAUAACCUGAAAAUUUCGGGAGUUUCAUAGGUGGGAAUUCAAGUAGCUCUUAGGAUAUCUUUCCGACGGAUGUAUGAUAUGAAAUUGGGGUUCGGCGUCUAGUGGUCCGCCUAUUCACGGUCGUUUUUACAGUGGUCUCGUUGUGUCUUAAAGAGUCCUUGGCUAUGCCGACUCGGGGACGCUUCGUAUGUCAUGUGCACUGCCUUGUACAUGAUGGUGCUGUAUGAUCGAGCCCGUGUAGGCCCCACCACGAAAACUUCGGACGAAAUCUCUAUCAUAUGUUUGUUCUGGCUUAUUUUGCAAGCCAAUCCUUUGUUUUGUUUUGAGUUGUGGUAUUCGAGUUGCUUCGAAGUCAAAUGUUGAUUCCAUACCUUUUCCAAAUGGUGUUCUCAUAUUCCUAUGUGAAUACUAAUUCUUCUUGAUCAUCGAGUCUGUCUUGUCAAUCCUUUUUUUUAACCGGUGUGUCUCUCUUCAAGUGGAUCCGAUCACUUCAACAUCAGCAAGACCAAUUAUCAUUUCUUCUCAACGGUGUUUGUUUCAUCCGUCUCCAAGUUGCCUUUGUUCUUUCCCACCCACCCACCCUUUUUCCUCAAGGACUAAGAUUUCUUUACCAAGUAUCCUUUUAUUUUUGUGAAGUUUCUCCAUUCUUUUCCGUCAAUGUUCUUACCCGGUGGUUCUCAAGAAGAUGUUCUACUAGUUCGUCAUUCCUCAUUCCUUUCUCUUCUCCGGUGGAUUCAAGUCAAGUUUUGUUGAUCAUACCUUUUUCCUCAUUUCAAUGUCUUCUCAUACCGGUGCACCUCAUUAUCAUUAUACUUCUCGCUAUUUCUUAUUCCGGAGUGCUCAAGAUAUCUCGAAGAUUCGUGUUUCCACUCUGCAUUCGUUCAAGCUCUUUCGAGAUUGGUAUCUCAUUCAAGUCAUUUAAUUCAACCGGUGCAACAUCUCUUUUAAAUCUUUUCAACGGUGUUCUUUUGAGUGGGCCCUAACCCACAGGUCUUUUCCCAGCAUCUUACCUGACUCUUCUAUUUUCCCAGAGCUAUCCUAAAUUCUUCUCCAAGUUUGACGUAAGAAUGAGUUAUCAUUAGUCAAAUGCUUUUCUCCAAGAUCUUUCAAAUUCUUUUCAUAGUUGUCUCAACCUCUUCGCUUUUGAUUCUUCCGGUGUGCCUCAAUAAUUCUUGGUGGUGUUUCUCGUUGUCAUUCUCAUCAUUUGAAGACCGAAGAAGAGUUUCUCUUUAAUCUUGCUCUAUUCUCUUCAAGAUUCAUGGUGCUAGCUUGUUGCUAUCCUCUCAUAAUUGUUUUCGAUUGUGAGAAUCUUUUUCACCCAUCAGGAGAUAUUCAAGAGUCUUCUCAGUUUGUCAUCCGGAGUCCAUCAAUUCAGGUUUAUUCAUUCUCAGCCGUCAGUUAUCAUUCUCCUAUCUUGCCAGUGCAUCUAUCGAAUAUCCUCUAAUCAGUUCUUGAUCUCUUUGUUCUCAUGUAUCUAGUUUGUCUCAAGCACCUUCGUUCAUUUGCUAAUUCUUACCGGUGAUGCACCCCUACUUCAAUCAUUUUCAAUUCUUAUGGUGGUUCUUUCAAGAUCUCUCUUCCUUGUUCAUCAUAUCAAUUCAUUUGUUGUUCCAAUCCUACCGGUGGCGUUGAAGACCUUCUCAAGUUUUGAUUUAUCUCUUUUAAUCCUUUCUACGAGAAUAAGAAGUAUGCCAAAUCCGUUGAUUGUCGUCAAUUUAAUUGGUGAAGGAUAAGCAUAACAUAGUUCUUAUUCUUGUUCAUCCAAGUGAUUAAUUCUUUAUUCCGGAGGCCCUUAAAAUUCUCGGUUUCAUUUGUUUCAUCUUCUCUUUUUCCCGGAGUUCCAAGCUCUAAUUAUCACGGAGAUCCAUCUAAAUCAUUGCAAGGAUUCACCUUGUGUUUUCAAUUUCUCUUUCUUUUCAUUCUUUUUGUUUACCGGAGUUCUUCAUGGAGGUUCUACAUGAUUGUUCAUCAAGGAUUUAAUUCCCUUCUCAAAGUUUUCAUCAAGAUUCAUUUCUAGGGAGCUCAAGCUUUCUUCAUAUUGUAAUCCGGAGUGCAAUUUCUUUCUACCAUAUUAUCGGAGGUGGUAUUAUGUCAUUCUUGAUAAUUUGAGUUCAUGUUUUCCAUGAUUCACAUGUUGUUAAGAAUGAGUUAUUUUUAAAUCCAUCAACCUCGUUGUUGGAGUUAUCUUGUGUCAUAUUUCACCUAAAAGCCUUCCAUUGGGAAUGUUGCUAUUUCUGGUGCUUGCCAAUGAUCCAAGUUAUCUCUUUAUCAUCUUGGUGGAAGAAGUUUUCAUCUCUUCGUUGAUCUCAAGAAAGCAAUUGUUUCCGUUAGUGGCCGGUUGUCACCUCAUAAUUUUGAGAUGUUUUCCAUAAGCCCACUACAAGCUUGUGCUUUUCGUUGUUGAUUUUCCAACAACUCCGUUCAAUUCUUCUUUGCAAGGAUGCUUUCCAAACUCUUUUGUGGCAGAAGUUGGCAUUUUCUUCUCCAUUCUGUUAUUCCAAUGAUAUAUCUUCUAUUAUUUCUUUCGGAGGCAUUGUGACGUUGCUCUUUUCACUCACCAUCUCGAUUCGUGAGGAUCGUGUUCUUUUCUUGCUUAUCCAUUUAACCGGAGUGUCGUGUUUUCAUUCGAGUUCUCUAAUCUUAUCAAGUUUUCCCUCCUUCCUCAACUGGAGAGCUGUCUGAAAUCCUUCUUACCCAUUGUGCCAUUCUUUCAAUAGUUCCGGAGGCAGUGUGUUGUUGAUUUCAUCAAGUAACAUCCCAUCUUCUCAAGUUCAUGUUCUAUUCCUUCCAUGUUCAACCGGAGUACUGCCCGAAUUCUUCCCCUCUCAUCUUGUUUUAACCGGAGUGGUUUCGAAUUCUAUCUUGUCCAUUAAACUCUUGAUUCAUGUCUUUGCAACCUUCAAGUUUUCGUAAUGUUCCUUGUUCCUCUUUCUAACGGAUUGUUUGCAAUCCCGUUCAUCUCCUUUGUAUUCUUUCUUUCAAUUUGUUCAACCUCUCAAGGUUCUUUGGUUUCACUCAUUGGUCAAAGAAGCAACUUAGUUUUACCUCUUCUCUUCCUCUUCCAUUUCUCUCCGGUGCCAUCCUAGAUCUCGGGACGAGAUCCUCUUGUAGUGGUGGAGUGUUGUAACGCCCCGAGACCGACGCUCCAGAAGACUUCCAGCUAUUCCGAGUUUCGUCGUGUGAUUUGUUUUAUUUGUUGCAUUCAUCCUUGCAUCAUGUGCAUUGCAUCAUGUCAUCAUGCCAUCAUAUCAUUAAUUUUUAAAACCUUAACUAAAUAAAUUGUAUGGAUUUUUCGAUCCAUUUAAAUCGAGGGACUCACAUGGUGACUUCUCUUUAUAACAUAUCCUCCAAUAUUAUGGAGCUAUAUUAAAUAUUCCACUAUUUUGGAAUCACCAAAACACACUUACAAAAUAAUUUCGUUCCUUUUCUGCUUCAAGUUUGGUCUCCAACCUUGCCAAUAUUUAUUUCAUCAUUUUCCGGAGCUCCACCAAAAAUCCAAACAUUUUUGGACCUUCCCAAACCUCACUUCUUAUUCAAAUCAUUUGAAUUUAAAUCAAAUGAGUUUGAAUUUAAUCUUUCAAUCAUGGCCUUUCUAUUUUUCUCGGAACAAACUCAUUUUUGUGAGUCCAAGGAAAUUAUCCCCUUGCGCAUUUUCUUUCCCUAACCCUCCUUUUCUUUUCCUCUCUCUUUUUGCUUUUCUGUUAAAGAAAAUAUAAGAGAGAGAAGAGAGAGGUAAGCCCAGCCAGGCCUCUGGCCAUUUCCUCUCCACAUGGGCCGACCCAACCGGCCUCUCCAGCCGCAGCCCACCUAACCCUCCUACCUAAGCCGGCCCAAGGCCCAGCCGCCUCUAACCCUAGCCCAGCCCCCACGCACCCCAUCUCUCCCCUCGUUCCUCCUCCAGCGCCGCAGCCUCCUGCGCCCGAUCCUCUCGCGGCCGCUCCCCUCGAUCCCCUCGCCUCUCUCCUCUCUCGAUCCCCCACUCUCCCUCGUCUCCUCCCUCGCGCCGUCACCAUACACCGCAUCGAGCCAGGGAGAGGAGCUCCCUGCGCCCGAUCCCCUCGUUUCCCUCUCCUCGAUCCCGAGCCCGAGCGCGCAGCCCUCGACCUUCCCCUCGCUCCCGCGCUCCGCCCUCGCCGGAGAAGAUAACCAGGACGGAGCCCCAUCGGCCUCCUCUGCGCCCCACCUCUCCAUCUCCCCCUCGCCCGCGACCCGAGCUAUGCACUCAUGGCUGCGCCUUGGCCGCCUACCUCCGCUGCCGUCGCGCCCUUCGGUCCCUGUGCCUCGCGACCGCGCCAAGUCCGCCCCGUCUCCUCGCGCCGGCCCUGCCGCCAAGCCCUGCCGCCGGAGCUCGCCUUCGUCCUGACUCCGGCAGGAUCAGGGCCCUGCUUGUCGCGCCCCGCAGGAGGGCCACCCUGCGCGCGACCUCGCCGGGCCUUCUCUGCUGCCCUUCGCCGCGCCAAGUUCCCCGCCGCCAGGGACGCGAGCUUCUCUGCCUCCCCCGGCGUCCGUUCACGCUCUAGCGCCGCCGCCAUCGUCGGAGAUGGGCUCCCGCCGCCCAGGUCCGCGUCUCGUCCUCGUCCUCGCCCAAUCCCCGUCGCCGAUGCACCUGGACAUCGCAUCGUUGCUCGUGGCAUGCCAAGACCGCCCCGUGGAGUUCGCGAGUUACCACUACGAAGGCCUCUGGGUUCGCCAAGUACCCAACCGACAAGACCCCACGGACGUCUACCUCCAGAUGGAUUUCGUCAAGUUCGACGACCGCGUCGAGUACCUCUACCGCCGUCUACGGAAACAACAAGUACCCCGACGUCGCGUGUACCACUACCGUCGACAUGAACAUCUACGAAAACAUGUACCAUCUACCAUUGCCAAGAUCGCGAGUACCUCUACCGUCGCCGUGAACAACUACUUCCCUCGACGACUCGAACCGCUCCGAAAACGCACGCUUCGAAGGUAUAACCCCGAGACGCCGUCCGUGGACCGAAUGCAUGUGUUGAAUGAGAUGCAUCGUUUGCUCCGUGAUCAAAUCGUCCUUGCGAUGCCCCUCUUUUGCCGUGCCGUCGACCCGUGGGAACCCGGUAACCGGGAGCACCCCACCAUCUUGCAUGACUCGCUCACGCCACUUUCUUUUGCACCGACAUCUCAAUGAGUUGUUGGAUAACCGAUAUGUUGCCGUGGCAUCAUUUUUGGAUAUGUUGCCGUGGCACCAUUUUUGUUUCACCGCCGUGGCACCUUUUUCCUUCCGCCAUGGCGACAAAUGCUUCAUAACAUGCUCGUGUCAACAUUUUCAUAAAAUUGCAUAAAACUUGUAUAUGUCAUCCGCAUCAUGAUAACAACAUUUAAAAUGUUUAAAAUUGUUGUUGCAUUAAAUUGCUAAAUGCAUAUGGGGAUUUACCGGAUUUGUUGUUUUUAUAUCCGGCCCCAUUUAAAUUGUUUAGAUGGUAUAGUUUAUAUUAUGCUUCACCUCUUGCCAUGUUUAACAACAGUUAAUAUUGUUGGGUAGCUUAAACGGGAGAUAACUAAAUAAUUGAUAUGGUGUUCCGUCAACAUGCACCUCGUUGCAUAUUGAGCUCCACUUAACUUGUAGUAUUGUUUGUUGCACUUUGCCAUGCCAUGCCUCAUUAAACCGGACAUGCAUCAUACUUGUUUGCGCAUCAUGCCAUGUUUAUGUGAUGUUUGUUUACUAUGUUGUGUGCUUCUUUUCCGAUGUUUGCUUCUUCGGGUUGGUUCCGAUAACGUCGAGGUUGUGAGGAUCCGUUCGUCUACGUCCGUUUGUCUUCUUCAUGGAUUCGUUCUUCUUCCUUGCGGGAUCUCAGGCAAGAUGAUCAUACCCUCGAAAUCACUACUAUCUUUGCUAUGCUAGUUUGCUCGCUCUUUUGCUAUGCCAAUGCUACGAUGCCUACCAUUUGCUUGUCAGCCUCCCAAAUUGCCAUGUCAAACCUCUAACCCACCAUGUCCUAGCAAACCGUUGAUUGGCUAUGUUACCGCUUUGCUCAGCCCCUCUUAUAGCGUUGUUAGUUGCAGGUGAAGAUUGAAGUUUGUUCCUUGUUGGAACAUGGAGUUGUUGUUCCUUGUUGGAACAUGUUUACUUGUUGGGAUAUCACAAUAUAUCUUAUUUAAUUAAUGCAUCUAUAUACUUGGUAAAGGGUGGAAGGCUCGGCCUUAUGCCUGGUGUUUUGUUCCACUCUUGCCGCCCUAGUUUCCGUCAUAUCGGUGUUAUGUUCCCGGAUUUUGCGUUCCUUACACGGUUGGGCUAUAAUGGGAACCCCUUGACAGUUCGCCUUAAGUAAAGCUCUUCCAGCAAUGCCCAACAUUGGUUUUACCAUUUGCACUAACAACCUACCACCUUCCCUUGGGUUCUGCAGACUCAAGGGUCAUCUUUAUUCUAACCCCCCCGGGCCAGUGCUCCUCUGAGUGUUGGUCUGAACUAGAGCCCUGUGCAGCGCCCCCUCGGGGAAACUCGAGGUUUGGUUUUAGUUGUACGGAUUGCUCAUCUGAGUGUGCCCUGAGAAAGAGAUAUGUGCAGCUCCUAUCAGGAUUUGUCGGCACAUUCGGGCGGUGUUGCUGGUUUAGUUUUACCCUGUCGAAAUGUCUUGUUGUACCGGGAUACCGAGUCUGAUCGGAACAUCUCGGGUGGAGGUCUAUUCCUUCGUUGACCGUGAGAGCUUGUCAUGGGCUAAGUUGGGACACCCCUGCAGGGUAUUAUAUUUCGAAAGCCGUGCCCGCGGUUAUGGGCAGAUGGGAAUUUGUUAACGUCCGGUUGUAGAAAACCCGAAGUUGACCUUAUUUAAAAUACAUCAACCGCGUGUGUAACCGUGAUGGUCUCUUCUCGGCGGAGUCCGGGAAGUGAACACGAUGUUGGAGUUAUGCUUGACGUAGGUUGCUAUAGGAUCACUUCUUGAUCAUACUUUUAUCGACCGUGCUUUGCCCUCUCUUCUCGCUCUCUUUUGCGAUUGUAGCCACCAUAUAUGCUAGUCGCUUGCUCCAGCUCCACCUCAUUACUCCAUCCUUCCUAUAAGCUUAAAUAGUCUUGAUCUCGCGGGUGCGAGAUUGCUGAGUCCCCAUGGCUCACAGAUACUUCCAAAACCAGUUUGCAGGUGCCUAUGUUACCGAGCAGGUGACGCAACCAAGCUCAAGGAGGAGCUUGAUGAAGAUCUUGCCCUUUGUGUUGUUUCGUUCUAGUUGAUCAGUAGUGGAGCCCAGUUGGGGUCGAUCGGGGACCUUUGUCGCAUUUGGGGUUCUUCUUUUAUUUUGGUUCCGUAGUCGGACCUUGAUUGUAUCUGGAUGAUGUAAUGCUUUAUUCAUGUAAUUGUGUGAAGUGGC
RNAcentral lists this long non-coding RNA (8369 nucleotides) under Triticum aestivum (bread wheat). Its description in RNAcentral is "long non-coding RNA (TAES_LNC003354)". The record is from RNAcentral. Lineage: Eukaryota; Viridiplantae; Streptophyta; Magnoliopsida; Poales; Poaceae.